UCCUACUUAACGUAGGCAGUCUCUUUAGAGUGCCCAACUGAAUGCUGGCAACUAAAGACAAGGGUUGCGCUCGUUGCGGGACUUAACCCAACAUCUCACGACACGAGCUGACGACAGCCAUGCAGCACCUGUGCUAGGACCCGAAGGCUACGAUAUCUCUACCGUAUUCCCUAGCAUGUCAAACCCGGGUAAGGUUUUUCGCGUUGCAUCGAAUUGAACCACAUGCUCCACCGCUUGUGCGGGCCCCCGUCAAUUUCUUUGAGUUUUAAUCUUGCGACCGUACUUCCCAGGCGGAACACUUAACGCGUUAGCUUCGACACUGAAGGGGUCAAUACCUCCAACAUCAAGUGUUCAUCGUUUACGGCGUGGACUAC
This 374-nucleotide unclassified non-coding RNA is filed under the name uncultured Pseudobdellovibrionaceae bacterium. Its description in RNAcentral is "uncultured Bdellovibrionaceae bacterium contains 16S-23S intergenic spacer region". Lineage: Bacteria; Pseudomonadati; Bdellovibrionota; Bdellovibrionia; Bdellovibrionales; Pseudobdellovibrionaceae. The record is from RNAcentral.